RNAcentral lists this ribosomal RNA (279 nucleotides) under uncultured bacterium. Its description in RNAcentral is "partial 16S ribosomal RNA". It matches the Rfam family "Bacterial small subunit ribosomal RNA", at positions 28 to 303 of the family's 1533-position model. The record is from RNAcentral.
GACGAACGCUGGCGGCGUGCUUAACACAUGCAAGUCGAGCGGUAAGGCCCUUUCGGGGGUACGACGAGCGGCGAACGGGUGAGUAACACGUGGGUGACCUGCCCUCAGCUCUGGGAGUAAGACCUGGGAAACCGGGUACUAAUACCGGAUAUGACUCCAUGACGCAUGUUGUGGGGUGGAAAGCCUUGUGCGGCUGAGGAUGGGCCCGCGGCCUAUCAGCUUGUUGGUGGGGUGAUGGCCUACCAAGGCGACGACGGGUAGCCGGCCGUGAGAGGGCGA